RNAcentral lists this transfer RNA (63 nucleotides) under Branchinella kugenumaensis. RNAcentral describes it as "tRNA-Asn". The record is from RNAcentral. Lineage: Eukaryota; Metazoa; Arthropoda; Branchiopoda; Anostraca; Thamnocephalidae.
UUGUAGGAAGCUAUAUGAAGCGUCUCAUUGUUACUGAGAAGAUUGGUUUGGUAACCCCACAAA